GCUGAAGAACGCAGCGAAAUGCGAUAAGUAAUGUGAAUUGCAGAAUUCAGUGAAUCAUCGAAUCUUUGAACGCACAUUGCGCCCGCCAGUAUUCUGGCGGGCAUGCCUGUUCGAGCGUCAUUACAACCCUCAGGCCCCCGGGCCUGGCGUUGGGGAUCGGCGGAGCCCCCCGUGGGCACACGCCGUCCCCCAAAUACAGUGGCGGUCCCGCCGCAGCUUCCAUCGCGUAGUAGCUAACACCUCGCGACUGGAGAGCGGCGCGGCCACGCCGUAAAACACCCAACUCUUCUGAAGUUGACCUCGAAUCAGGUAGGAAUACCCGCUGAACUUAAGCAUAUCAAUAAGCGGAGGA
This 352-nucleotide unclassified non-coding RNA is filed under the name soil metagenome. Its description in RNAcentral is "partial contains 5.8S ribosomal RNA, internal transcribed spacer 2, and large subunit ribosomal RNA". The stretch from base 3 to 120 matches the Rfam family "5.8S ribosomal RNA", at positions 37 to 154 of the family's 154-position model. The record is from RNAcentral.